RNAcentral lists this ribosomal RNA (442 nucleotides) under Belisana sp. Mal35. Its description in RNAcentral is "partial 16S ribosomal RNA". Lineage: Eukaryota; Metazoa; Arthropoda; Arachnida; Araneae; Pholcidae. The record is from RNAcentral.
UUCCUAAAGAAUCAAAUUUUAGGUAAAUCCUGCUCAAUGAAUAAAAAAAUUCCACACUAAUUUAAUAGCCGCAGAACUCUGUGCUAAGGUAGCACAAUCACUUGCUUUCUAAAUAAAAGAUAGAAUGAAUGGAUAAACGAUUAAAAACUUUUUAACAUUACUAAAUUAACCUAAUCAACACGUAAAAAAGCCUUUAUUAUUAUACAAGACGACAAGACCCUGAUAAACUUAUAAAUUUAGUUGGGGUAACAUAAUAACAAAAUUUUAAUUACAAUCAAAAUACAACUUAUCAAACAAAAUAAAUUUAGUUACUACAGGGAUAACAGCGCAAUCUCUUUUAAGAGUUCUUAUCUAAAAAGAGUCUUACGACCUCGAUGUUGAAUUAAUUUAUCUCUAAUAAGCAAAAAUAUUAAAAGUAAGUCUGUUCGACUAAUAAAAAAUU